CCUACGGGUGGCAGCAGUGGGGAAUAUUGGACAAUGGGCGAAAGCCUGAUCCAGCCAUGCCGCGUGUGUGAAGAAGGCCUUCGGGUUGUAAAGCACUUUCAGUGGGGAAGAAAGCCUUGGGGCUAAUACCCUCGAGGAAGGACAUCACCCACAGAAGAAGCACCGGCUAACUCCGUGCCAGCAGCCGCGGUAAUACGGAGGGUGCGAGCGUGAAUCGGAAUUACUGGGCGUAAAGCGCGCGUAGGCGGUCUGAUAAGCCGGUUGUGAAAGCCCCGGGCUCAACCUGGGAACGGCAUCCGGAACUGUCAGGCUAGAGUGCAGGAGAGGAAGGUAGAAUUCCCGGUGUAGCGGUGAAAUGCGUAGAGAUCGGGAGGAAUACCAGUGGCGAAGGCGGCCUUCUGGACUGACACUGACGCUGAGGUGCGAAAGCGUGGGUAGCAAACAGGAUUAGAUACCCGGGUAGUC
Molecule: ribosomal RNA, 465 nt
Filed under: Vreelandella stevensii
Lineage: Bacteria; Pseudomonadati; Pseudomonadota; Gammaproteobacteria; Oceanospirillales; Halomonadaceae
Description: partial 16S ribosomal RNA
Rfam family: Bacterial small subunit ribosomal RNA
Source: RNAcentral